GUCAGGUCCUCAUGGCCCUUACGCCCAGGGCUACAAACGUGCCACAAUGGCCGGUACAAAGGGACGCGAAGCCGUGAGGUCAAGCAAAUCCCCAAAAGCCGGUCUCAGUUCGGAUUGAGGGCUGCAACUCGCCCUCAUGAAGCUGGAAUCGCUAGUAAUCGGGGAUCAGCUACGCCCCGGUGAAUAUGUUCCUGAGCCUU
RNAcentral lists this ribosomal RNA (200 nucleotides) under uncultured organism. RNAcentral describes it as "partial small subunit ribosomal RNA". It matches the Rfam family "Bacterial small subunit ribosomal RNA", at positions 1184 to 1382 of the family's 1533-position model. The record is from RNAcentral.